CCUACGGGCGGCAGCAGUGGGGAAUAUUGGACAAUGGGGGGAACCCUGAUCCAGCCAUGCCGCGUGUGUGAAGAAGGCCCUCGGGUUGUAAAGCACUUUCAGUGAGGAAGAACGCCUGGUGGUUAAUACCCAUCAGGAAAGACAUCACUCACAGAAGAAGCACCGGCUAACUCCGUGCCAGCAGCCGCGGUAAUACAGAGGGUGCGAGCGUUAAUCGGAAUUACUGGGCGUAAAGCGCGCGUAGGUGGCUUGAUAAGCCGGUUGUGAAAGCCCCGGGCUCAACCUGGGAACGGCAUCCGGAACUGUCAAGCUAGAGUGCAGGAGAGGAAGGUAGAAUUCCCGGUGGAGCGGUGAAAUGCGUAGAGAUCGGGAGGAAUACCAGUGGCGAAGGCGGCCUUCUGGACUGACACUGACACUGAGGUGCGAAAGCGUGGGUAGCAAACAGGAUUAGAUACCCUAGUAGUC
This 465-nucleotide ribosomal RNA is filed under the name Vreelandella stevensii. RNAcentral describes it as "partial 16S ribosomal RNA". It matches the Rfam family "Bacterial small subunit ribosomal RNA", at positions 338 to 795 of the family's 1533-position model. The record is from RNAcentral. Lineage: Bacteria; Pseudomonadati; Pseudomonadota; Gammaproteobacteria; Oceanospirillales; Halomonadaceae.